CACCCAUCUUCGUUUCCUCAUUUUUUUUUUGAUUUAUACACUUGCAGUUUGUGAACAUUUAAACUUUCUCAAAAAUAUAUUGCCGGAAAUUGGUAAACAGUUCAUCGAAAAAACCGUCAGAAAUGUUUUAGUUUAACAAGUUUUCUACAUAGAUAUAUUCCGACUAAUAUCCAACAAAUAUUUUUAUGAAGUGGUAAUCAACAAGGGACGAUGAUAAGGAGAGGGAUCCAUCCCGUUUGUCCAAGAA
Long non-coding RNA from Arabidopsis thaliana (thale cress), 247 nucleotides. RefSeq annotates it as other RNA. NCBI's taxonomy places the organism in Eukaryota, Viridiplantae, Streptophyta, Magnoliopsida, Brassicales, Brassicaceae. The transcript has a single exon. The record is from RefSeq.